This is a long non-coding RNA of Bufo gargarizans (Asiatic toad), 1073 nucleotides long. RefSeq lists it as uncharacterized. NCBI's taxonomy places the organism in Eukaryota, Metazoa, Chordata, Amphibia, Anura, Bufonidae. The record is from RefSeq and is a predicted model, not a curated record. The transcript is spliced from 6 exons.
UGAGAAAGCAUGGACGGAGUGGGCGAAGAAUAAGAUCACCAUGUUUACCAGCAUCAAAGGGUUAAACCUGAUCCGCCAUAUUGCUCCUGCUGAUGACAUGGAAAGCUUUAAUAACUCUCUCCAGAUUCUGCAGACAAGUGAGAGAUGGCAGAAAAAAACGCAUUCUUAUCAAUGGUUUCCAACAAAGUGGCUGCCAUCCCAGAAGGUGACUGCAUAAUGAAUUACUAGAUGUGGAAGACUAGACACACUUGGAGAGGGCUGCUCUGGAUGGAAAUCCCAUGUAAUUGUGCAUGGUCUGGUCAUAUCGGAGGCAGACAACAAUAGGGGUGACGCGCGUUACCAGAAAGAUACCUGGUGGUGAUGUUUCCUGAGAACAUCGAGCCUUAGGGAAAACGCUAAAGAAUGGAUAUUGUAUGAAAGGUUUCAGUUGGCUUCUUACAUUUGCGUUCUUGAAGAUUGAAUGGAUCAUGUCACCUCGUUCACAACAUCAUAUGCUUAUAUUCUGUAAUUUAUUUUUACCAUUGUUAUGCACAUUGAGCAUCUCUUUAACCCCUUAACGACAUGUGACGUAAAUUUGCGUCAACAUGACAGUAAGAAGAUAUGGAGCUGUUGCAGAUUAUGUGAUUAAUCAAGAGAAUAGUCAAAGCUUGCCGAUGAAGCCCACUUCCCAAGAAGCCGGUCAAGAAAAGGACACAAAAGCAUAUAUUGUCCUGAUAGAUUGAUUAACUUACCACAAAAGGGCUCUAACGGCAUGGCAAGAGUACUACAGACAAAAUGGUCGCUCGACGUGAGAAAAGUGCUGAUGGCUGCAGGACUAUAUCAUCGCCAUUCGUUGGAUCAUCCCAUGCUGAAGGAAGGGUUUGGAGUCCGAUUUAGAACAUUCAUUGGGAGUGACAAACUAUACUCAGGAGGUGGAAAACGUUUGGAGAUUCCUUUAUGCCAUGAACCCACACAAGGUCAGCCUGGAAUUUGUGAGGGACAUAGAAAAAGUCAGUGCCUUCUUCAACAAGCUACGUGACCAGAAGCUUGCUGACCAGACUAUUUUCAACUACCUGAAGAACAUACACAAAAUC